Molecule: long non-coding RNA, 187 nt
Organism: Melitaea cinxia (Glanville fritillary)
Lineage: Eukaryota; Metazoa; Arthropoda; Insecta; Lepidoptera; Nymphalidae
Exons: 2
Source: RefSeq, a predicted model, not a curated record
UGCUAUUACACAACAAGAAACAAAUAUAAGCUCUGUUUCUGAAAGCUUAUCUACUGGGCCUUCAACUUCUUUCACAGUCUAUGCAACCUGUUAUGAGGAUUACAUAUGAUGGUCAGGAUGAAACCAAACUUACUGCGAAAUUAUAUUAUGAAAAACAUAAACAUUAUAAAAAUAAAAAAUAAACAAA